GGCGCGCUUAACACAUGCAAGUCGUGCGAGAAAGGGGUAACCCCGGUAAAGCGGCGCACGGGUGAGUAACACGUAAAUAAUCUACCCCCAGGUGGUGGAUAACCUUCCGAAAGGAGGGCUAAUACAGCAUGAGACCACGGGUCCGCAAGGGCUUGAGGUCAAAGCCGGCCUCUUCACGAAAGCUGGCGCCAGGGGAUGAGUCUGCGGCCCAUCAGCUAGUUGGUAGGGUAACGGCCUACCAAGGCGAAGACGGGUAGCUGGUCUGAGAGGAUGAUCAGCCACACUGGAACUGAGACACGGUCCAGACUCCUACGGGAGGCAGCAGUGGGGAAUCUUGCGCAAUGGGCGAAAGCCUGACGCAGCGACGCCGCGUGAGUGAUGAAGGCCUUCGGGUUGUAAAGCUCUGUGGAGGGGGACNAAUAAGUCGUGGCCAACAUCCACGAUGAUGACGGUACCCCUUUAGCAAGCACCGGCUAACUCUGUGCCAGCAGCCGCGGUAAGACAGAAGGUGCAAACGUUGUUCGGAAUUACUGGGCGUAAAGCGCGUGUAGGCUGCUCUGCAA
This 563-nucleotide ribosomal RNA is filed under the name uncultured delta proteobacterium. Its description in RNAcentral is "bacterial SSU rRNA". It matches the Rfam family "Bacterial small subunit ribosomal RNA", at positions 41 to 586 of the family's 1533-position model. The record is from RNAcentral. Lineage: Bacteria; Deltaproteobacteria.